AGUGAACGCUGGCGGUCGGCCUAACACAUGCAAGUCGAACGGAAGCACAGUAAGAGUUUGCUUUUACGGGUGGCGAGUGGCGGGCGGGUGAGGAAUACAUCGGAAUCUACUUUUUCGUGGGGGAUAACGUAGGGAAACUUACGCUAAUACCGCAUACGACCUACGGGUGAAAGCAGGGGAUCUUCGGACCUUGCGCGAUUGAAUGAGCCGAUGUCGGAUUAGCUAGUUGGCGGGGUAAAGGCACACCAGGGCGACGAUCCGUAGCUGGUCUGAGAGGAUGAUCAGCCACACUGGAACUGCGCCACCGUCCAGACUCCUACGGGAGGCACCAGUGUGGAAUAUGUGACAAUGGGCGCAAGCCUGACCCAGCCAUACCGCGUGUGUGAAGAAGGCGUUCGGGUUGUAAAGCCCUUUUGUUGGGAGAGAAAAGCAGCAGGUUAAUACCCCGCGGUUCUGACGGUACCCAAAGAAUAAGCCCCGGCUAACUACGUG
Molecule: ribosomal RNA, 492 nt
Filed under: uncultured bacterium
Lineage: Bacteria
Description: partial 16S ribosomal RNA
Rfam family: Bacterial small subunit ribosomal RNA
Source: RNAcentral